GAUGAACGCUGGCGGCGUGCCUAAUAUAUGCAAGUCGAGCGAACGGACGAGAAGCUUGCUUCUCUGAUGUUAGCGGCGGACGGGUGAGUAACACGUGGAUAACCUACCUAUAAGACUGGGAUAACUUCGGGAAACCGGAGCUAAUACCGGAUAAUAUUUUGAACCGCAUGGUUCAAAAGUGAAAGACGGUCUUGCUGUCACUUAUAGAUGGAUCCGCGCUGCAUUAGCUAGUUGGUAAGGUAACGGCUUACCAAGGCAACGAUGCAUAGCCGACCUGAGGGGGUGAUCGGCCACACUGGAACUGAGACACGGUCCAGACUCCUACGGGAGGCAGCAGUAGGGAAUCUUCCGCAAUGGGCGAAAGCCUGACGGAGCAACGCCGCGUGAGUGAUGAAGGUCUUCGGAUCGUAAAACUCUGUUAUUAGGGAAGAACAUAUGUGUAAGUAACUGUGCACAUCUUGACGGUACCUAAUCAGAAAGCCACGGCUAACUACGUG
This 497-nucleotide ribosomal RNA is filed under the name uncultured bacterium. RNAcentral describes it as "partial 16S ribosomal RNA". It matches the Rfam family "Bacterial small subunit ribosomal RNA", at positions 28 to 507 of the family's 1533-position model. The record is from RNAcentral.